GAGCUCGUAGGCGGUUUGUCGCGUCUGCUGUGAAAUCCGGAGGCUCAACCUCCGGCCUGCAGUGGGUACGGGCAGACUAGAGUGCGGUAGGGGAGAUUGGAAUUCCUGGUGUAGCGGUGGAAUGCGCAGAUAUCAGGAGGAACACCGAUGGCGAAGGCAGAUCUCUGGGCCGUAACUGACGCUGAGGAGCGAAAGGGUGGGGAGCAAACAGGCUUAGAUACCCUGGUAGUCCACCCCGUAAACGUUGGGAACUAGUUGUGGGGUCCAUUCCACGGAUUCCGUGACGCAGCUAACGCAUUAAGUUCCCCGCCUGGGGAGUACGGCCGCAAGGCUAAAACUCAAAGGAAUUGACGGGGACCCGCACAAGCGGCGGAGCAUGCGGAUUAAUUCGAUGCAACGCGAAGAACCUUACCAAGGCUUGACAUAUACGAGAACGGGCCAGAAAUGGUCAACUCUUUGGACACUCGUAAACAGGUGGUGCAUGGUUGUCGUCAGCUCGUGUCGUGAGAUGUUGGGUUAAGUCCCGCAACGAGCGCAACCCUCGUUCUAUGUUGCCAGCACGUAAUGGUGGGAACUCAUGGGAUACUGCCGGGGUCAACUCGGAGGAAGGUGGGGAUGACGUCAAAUCAUCAUGCCCCUUAUGUCUUGGGCUUCACGCAUGCUACAAUGGCCGGUACAAAGGGCUGCAAUACCGCGAGGUGGAGCGAAUCCCAAAAAGCCGGUCCCAGUUCGGAUUGAGGUCUGCAACUCGACCUCAUGAAGUCGGAGUCGCUAGUAAUCGCAGAUCAGCAACGCUGCGGUGAAUACGUUCCCGGGUCUUGUACACACCGCCCGUCAAGUCAUGAAAGUCGGUAACACCUGAAGCCGGUGGCCUAACCCUUGUGGAGGGAGCCGUCGAAAGUGGGAUCGGUAAUUAGGACGAAGUCGUA
RNAcentral lists this ribosomal RNA (929 nucleotides) under Microbacterium sp. RNAcentral describes it as "bacterial SSU rRNA". It matches the Rfam family "Bacterial small subunit ribosomal RNA", at positions 565 to 1490 of the family's 1533-position model. The record is from RNAcentral. Lineage: Bacteria; Bacillati; Actinomycetota; Actinomycetes; Micrococcales; Microbacteriaceae.